This is a long non-coding RNA of Lolium perenne, 725 nucleotides long. RefSeq lists it as uncharacterized. NCBI's taxonomy places the organism in Eukaryota, Viridiplantae, Streptophyta, Magnoliopsida, Poales, Poaceae. The record is from RefSeq and is a predicted model, not a curated record.
GUUACCCUUCACUGUCUAUGCGUAGGAAAUCCCCAAAUCGUGAGCCAACAGCGGAUAUAGCGAGCGGUGAGGGCGGUGAUUGACGGACGAGCGUCGAGGGCGCCGCCGGCGAGGUCAGCGAGGGAGGGGAGGGCGCCGCCGGCAAGGGCGACGAAGGUACUAAGAUGGGCUCGACUGUGCGCUCUGGCAUGCUCCAGCCCGAGGCCAUCGGUGGCCGGAACGACAAGGUCGACGACGAGGAGUAGAAGCUGACAGCAGAGGUUUGGUAGGAUGGGAUUCCGACGGUGACGUCGCCGCCACCACCCACAAGCCACCGUCUCGGUUGACUGAAGGCUCAUGGGAAACAAUGGGCACAAUAAUACUCAUAAGCUGAAAUGCUAGGAUCAGGUGCCAUUACAUCAGGACAAACUGCAGGACGCUGAUGGUGCUCAAUAGAGGUACAAGAACCAGUGUGCUGCUCUAGUAAAUUCAAUAGAAAAGGAAGAAGAGGAUCUGGAACAUGUGAGGAAGAUAUGUGAACUGGAACUUCAGUUGCAGAAUGAGAAGUCGGAGAAGAAGAAAAUGGAGGGAAGACAUAAAAAUGAGGGAUAGGAAGGAGAUGACAUAUGUAACAGUUGUAGCAGUUUGUAUGGCCAUUUAUGCUCCUAUCUGUCAGGGGGUUUGUGUGAUGUAAAUUGUGUGUUCAAAUGAAACAGAGGAAUAAGAAUUGCAAGUAUGCUUCUAUC